RNAcentral lists this ribosomal RNA (454 nucleotides) under uncultured bacterium. RNAcentral's name for it is "partial 16S ribosomal RNA". It matches the Rfam family "Bacterial small subunit ribosomal RNA", at positions 28 to 507 of the family's 1533-position model. The record is from RNAcentral.
GAUGAACGCUGACAGCAUGCUUAACACAUGCAAGUCAACUUGAACUUCGGUUUGGGUGGCGGACGGGUGAGUAACGCGUAAAGAACUUGCCUCACAGAUAGGGACAACAUUUGGAAACGAAUGCUAAUACCUGAUAUUAUGAUUAUAUGGCAUCGUAUAAUUAUGAAAGCUAUAUGCGCUGUGAGAGAGCUUUGCGUCCCAUUAGCUAGUUGGAGAGGUAUCGGCUCACCAAGGCGAUGAUGGGUAGCCGGCCUGAGAGGGUGAUCGGCCACAAGGGGACUGAGGCACGGCCCUUACGCCUACGGGAGGCAGGAGUGAGGAAUAUUGGACAAUGGACCAAGAGUCUGAUCCAGCAAUUCUGUGUGCACGAUGAAGUUUUUCGGAAUGUAAAGUGCUUUCAGUUGAGAAGAAAAAAAUGACGGUACCAACAGAAGAAGUGACGGCUAAAUACGUG